Molecule: transfer RNA, 71 nt
Filed under: Loxodonta africana (African savanna elephant)
Lineage: Eukaryota; Metazoa; Chordata; Mammalia; Proboscidea; Elephantidae
Rfam family: tRNA
About the family: Transfer RNA (tRNA) molecules are approximately 80 nucleotides in length. Their secondary structure includes four short double-helical elements and three loops (D, anti-codon, and T loops).
Source: Rfam by way of RNAcentral
GCAUGAGUACUUCAGUGGUAGAAAUCUCACCUUCCAUGCAGGAGACCCAGGUUCAAUUCCUGGCCAAUGUA